RNAcentral lists this ribosomal RNA (966 nucleotides) under Limosilactobacillus frumenti. RNAcentral's name for it is "bacterial SSU rRNA". It matches the Rfam family "Bacterial small subunit ribosomal RNA", at positions 8 to 929 of the family's 1533-position model. The record is from RNAcentral. Lineage: Bacteria; Bacillati; Bacillota; Bacilli; Lactobacillales; Lactobacillaceae.
AGAGUUUGAUCAUGGCUCAGGAUGAACGCCGGCGGUGUGCCUAAUACAUGCAAGUCGAGCGCACUGGCCCAACUGAUAUGACGUGCUUGCACUGAUUUGACGAUGGAUUACCAGUGAGCGGCGGACGGGUGAGUAACACGUGGGCAACCUGCCCUGGAGCGGGGGAUAACAUCUGGAAACAGGUGCUAAUACCGCAUGACUACUAAAACCACCUGGUUUUAGUAUAAAAGAAGGCUUCGGCUUUCACUCUAGGAUGGGCCCGCGGUGCAUUAGCUAGUUGGUAAGGUAACGGCUUACCAAGGCGAUGAUGCAUAGCCGAGUUGAGAGACUGAUCGGCCACAAUGGAACUGAGACACGGUCCAUACUCCUACGGGAGGCAGCAGUAGGGAAUCUUCCACAAUGGGCGCAAGCCUGAUGGAGCAACACCGCGUGAGUGAAGAAGGGUUUCGGCUCGUAAAGCUCUGUUGUUGAAGAAGAACGUGCGUGAGAGUAACUGUUCACGCAGUGACGGUAUUCAACCAGAAAGUCACGGCUAACUACGUGCCAGCAGCCGCGGUAAUACGUAGGUGGCAAGCGUUAUCCGGAUUUAUUGGGCGUAAAGCGAGCGCAGGCGGUUGCUUAGGUCUGAUGUGAAAGCCUUCGGCUUAACCGAAGAAGUGCAUCGGAAACCGGGCGACUUGAGUGCAGAAGAGGACAGUGGAACUCCAUGUGUAGCGGUGGAAUGCGUAGAUAUAUGGAAGAACACCAGUGGCGAAGGCGGCUGUCUGGUCUGCAACUGACGCUGAGGCUCGAAAGCAUGGGUAGCGAACAGGAUUAGAUACCCUGGUAGUCCAUGCCGUAAACGAUGAGUGCUAGGUGUUGGAGGGUUUCCGCCCUUCAGUGCCGGAGCUAACGCAUUAAGCACUCCGCCUGGGGAGUACGACCGCAAGGUUGAAACUCAAAGGAAUUGACGGGGGCCCGCACAAG